Molecule: ribosomal RNA, 301 nt
Filed under: uncultured bacterium
Lineage: Bacteria
Description: partial 16S ribosomal RNA
Rfam family: Bacterial small subunit ribosomal RNA
Source: RNAcentral
CAGUCGCCGCGGGAAUACGGAGGGUGCAAGCGUUAAUCGGAAUUACUGGGCGUAAAGCGCACGCAGGCGGUCUGUCAAGUCAGAUGUGAAAUCCCCGGGCUUAACCUGGGAACUGCAUUUGAAACUGGCAGGCUAGAGUCUUGUAGAGGGGGGUAGAAUUCCAGGUGUAGCGGUGAAAUGCGUAGAGAUCUGGAGGAAUACCGGUGGCGAAGGCGGCCCCCUGGACAAAGACUGACGCUCAGGUGCGAAAGCGUGGGGAGCAAACAGGAUUAGAGACCCCAGUAGUCCCUGUCUCUUAUAC